RNAcentral lists this long non-coding RNA (381 nucleotides) under Ananas comosus (pineapple). Its description in RNAcentral is "long non-coding RNA (ACOM_LNC037478)". The record is from RNAcentral. Lineage: Eukaryota; Viridiplantae; Streptophyta; Magnoliopsida; Poales; Bromeliaceae.
UUUUUGCAGUAUAUAUAAUAAUGAAGUUAUAAGUCCGGCUACUAUAUAUACUAUCGAUAGUACUAAGCUUUUAGUACUAUCAAGUUUUCUGCCGUUAGAUCUAUACUUUGAUCAUUUUCAUCCGUUAGAUUAUAUGAUUCAACCAACCACAUGCUCAAUCCUAGGGGACCACGAUCAUCAUAACUGCACAUCCUUUCAUCCAACGGCCGAAAAUUCGAUAGUACAAAACGCUUGGUACUAUCUUCAUGAAGAAGAAGAAGAUAAGUAAACAGUAGAAUUUACUUUCGUUGCGUUUUUAGCGAUGAAACAUUCGAAUUAACGGUCGGCACAGUCAAGCACGAUAUAAUCUAUCUGAACUUUUGAGGAACCUAAUUUUUCAUA